CUACAUCCUCUCUCAGAGCCUCGUAGUCGAUGUCGCGGACUUCGAGACUCCAAAACGGCGCAGUUUAGAUUCCAGAAGCAGUGCGGUUUGGGUUUUGAAGGCCCACGUCAUGGAAGAAAUGGUCAUUUCAACGACCAUUGGUAUGGAUGGAAUUUCACUUGCCUCCAAAGAGGCAAUUGUUAAAGAGUCAUCUGUCAUUAUUUUUCUUGUUGAUGGCCAGGGUGAGAUCAUAAUUUUGAUUGAAGAAUUAGGAAAGAAUUGUUGGCAUAAAUUUUGUGUUGAUACGUCACCACGGCGAUUAUGGAACAAAUGACAAUUGCAUUCCAGAUGUCUUCCUUGAUUUGUAAUUUGUUUGCAACAACGGUAGAUUUUCAAACUUGGAAUGUUCUUUCACAAGGCAAGAGGUUCCAAGCUAUCAUUAGAGAUGGGAACAGAGAAAGACUUGCAGCUCGAUGCUUAAAGCAAUGUGAUGGUAGCUAUAGAGUUAUUUAUGAUCUUUGUGGUAGAUGAUACUGGGAAUUAAAUUCCACUUUUAAACUGAUAUCAAAAGUACCUUAUGUUAUAUGAUAUUCUUCAUUUAUACUU
This is a long non-coding RNA of Rosa chinensis, 585 nucleotides long. RefSeq lists it as uncharacterized. The transcript is spliced from 3 exons. NCBI's taxonomy places the organism in Eukaryota, Viridiplantae, Streptophyta, Magnoliopsida, Rosales, Rosaceae. The record is from RefSeq and is a predicted model, not a curated record.